ACUUUCAACAACGGAUCUCUUGGUUCUCGCAUCGAUGAAGAACGUAGCGAAGUGCGAUAAGUAGUGUGAAUUGCAGAAUUCCGUGGAUCAUCGAAUUUUUGAACGCAAAUUGCACUCUCUGGUAUUCCGGAGAGUAUGCCUGUUUGAGGGUCA
RNAcentral lists this ribosomal RNA (153 nucleotides) under uncultured Glomus. Its description in RNAcentral is "5.8S ribosomal RNA". It matches the Rfam family "5.8S ribosomal RNA". From Rfam's summary of the family: 5.8S ribosomal RNA (5.8S rRNA) is a component of the large subunit of the eukaryotic ribosome. It is transcribed by RNA polymerase I as part of the 45S precursor that also contains 18S and 28S rRNA. The record is from RNAcentral. Lineage: Eukaryota; Fungi; Glomeromycota; Glomeromycetes; Glomerales; Glomeraceae.